Molecule: long non-coding RNA, 2338 nt
Organism: Amphiprion ocellaris (clown anemonefish)
Lineage: Eukaryota; Metazoa; Chordata; Actinopteri; Pomacentridae
Exons: 4
Source: RefSeq, a predicted model, not a curated record
AGUUCAUCCCACACUACUUUAUCAACAAAGCUCGACGAAGCCAUACUAUCGCAGUGGAACGACCUGCUAUUUGUAGCGACUAUAAAGUGUUUACACUGCUUAAAGUCUUUUUAAGGCAAUAUGCCAGGUGCCCAUUGUUCAGUGCGGGACUGCCACAACGGUACCCGUGGGCUAAAGAAGUGGAUGGAAGAGUUUUGCCCUAUUCACGAGUGCAAUAAAGGAACCUCGCGCUGUGUAUGUGACCCGCCUUAUGUACUCGUCACAUUUCCUACUGAAAGAAGAGAUCCAGAACGUCGAGCCGAAUGGAUUAAAUUAGUUUCCCAGAGACUAUGGGUUGAGGAGGAAUUGGAAGUUUGUCGGCUUAGACCUGGUGUCAUUCCAUCAGUGUUAAACUUCCCGGCUCAUCUUUGAAGAGUACGUGCCAGAAAGACUACAACCAAGCAGCCUUGAGAUCUUAGGCAGCGUCUCCCUCAGGUUCCUCUCUAUCUCCCCACACAUCCACCAACCACUGGAACACAUCUCCAAAGUUCUGCCAGGCCAGCUCAGCUUCCCCUCAGAAGAAGUGCCGCCACCUGCCAGAUGAAGGAGCCUUUUGAGAGGCAGCUGGCAUCGUGAUUGGACUGUAGUUUGGUCUGUUCCAAUCCAGCUUCAGCUCCAGAGACGGCAGGCAGGACGAGUCAACGGAGGCCUGGUGGACGAAGGCUGCAGCUGAGUACAAUCCAGAAAACAACAGAGGAGGAAUGCAGCAGCCCAGGGCCAGAACAACCAGAGUAGCAUGACCAAAGAACUACAGACUCUUCACAACCUGCUCAAACUCUUGGUACAGGACCUCACCACACGGGUCAAGAAGGUUUCCGUCUCAUUUCUACUCUGAAGCUCACCUUCUCCUGCUCAAACUGCUGAUAAAUGUUUCUGCUGCUAUAAAGUCUGGUCUCCAGAACUUCCUAAAAACUCUCAAAGUCUCUUCUGAUGCAGGUUGCUUUGUAGAACUGUUCCAGAAAACCUCACUAAACCACAUGGAGGGGCCUCAAGAUAGUCGUCCAAAUGAAACCAUACAAAAACCAAACUAGCACAAUCCAAACGCUAAAGUCUCCUGCAGCCUACCAGAGAACCUCUGAGAACAGAGAAUCCAGACAGGAACUCUUACCUUCUGGACAACCAACGCUGGUUCACAAGAAUACAGAAUGUGUCUGAGCAAAAACCUCUGAAGACUCACUACAGCCAAGAUAAAGACACAACUCAGCUGCAGCAAAUCCACUAAUCACUGCACACAUUAGCACCAUGUGCUAACUGUGGCUAAAGAACCACAUUUACCAAGACAACUAUCCAGUACAAAGCCCUAAAACACACCAAGAAACACAUUAAAGACGAUUUUACUGCUGGAAGCUGCAAGCCAACGCCUAAAGAACAAACUAAAGCAAGGGAGCCAAACCCAGUUCAGUGGUGGAGAGAAGCAGAGGAAAUGUUUGUCUGCAGCUAAAUAAAGCAGGAAGACACUGAGCUGCUCAGGUGUUCCUGAUAACACCAAGCAGCCACCUGGACAGCCAAUAGGAACACAGCUUCCUGGAAGUCCAGAGGGCUGGGUUAGUGAAGGAAAUGUAAUUUAAAGUUGAAGCAGAAAGUUGAAAACCACCUUCUGAUACCUGAAAUCUCUGAGUUUUCACACAAAGAACACCUGAACAUGUCAAACUGGUUCCAUAGUAGAACCAUCAUUGUAAAAACGUCAUAGUAUGGUGUGUUGCUCAAAAAACAUUAGGACCCGGCUGUCAGGGGACAAACAUGUAAGAAACAUGAGAACAGAGAGAACCCAACCAGUAGGUCACAGUUUAUCAUCCCCCAGUCAUCUCCUGAAGUCCAUAUGGUGAGAGACAUCAGUAUCUGGUUGUUCAUUUACCAGAGGAUACUUAUAAUCAUGCUGAUGUGGUCUGUACUCUACAGUAUUUUAGUGACUCAAUAAAUGCCUAAGUUGUUUUUUUAAAAUUCUUUUUAGUUUUUAAUAAACAUUUAAUAGCCUAUAUGUAAUCAAUAAAUGGCCUUUGCCUAUCUUAAGAAAAAUUCACUCAGAACUCUGAUAUGUUAACAGUACUAAAUAAAUCAAUAAAUACAUGCAUACACACAUAAAUAAGUUAAUACAUUAACUGUGUUAAGAUAAGAUUUAGAUUUUAAAAAAGUUGUUUAUGUUUUUGCAGAAUCCAGUAUUGCUCACUGGUUGGUCAUUACAUUUUGUUAGUUUGAUUUCACUGUUUAAAAUGAUGCCACCUCUUUUCAGACAGAACCUGUGAUAAUAAAACAAUACAAAAUUUUUAGUUCCGUGUUAAUAAAGCACUUAAAGCUUUAA